Molecule: ribosomal RNA, 231 nt
Filed under: uncultured bacterium
Lineage: Bacteria
Description: partial 16S ribosomal RNA
Rfam family: Bacterial small subunit ribosomal RNA
Source: RNAcentral
UGUCCCUACGGGGGGCAGCAGUAGGGAAUUUUCGUCAAUGGGCGCAAGCCUGAACGAGCAAUGCCGCGUGAACGAGGAAGGUCUUCGGAUCGAAAAGUUCUGUUGAAGGGGAAAAAGAGCGGAGAGUGGAAAUGGUCUCCGUUUGCUAUUACCCUUCGAGGAAGUCACGGCUAACUACGUGCCAGCAGCCGCGGUAAUACGUAGGUGGCGAGCGUUAUCCGGAAUGAUUGG